This 492-nucleotide ribosomal RNA is filed under the name Bolitaena pygmaea. RNAcentral describes it as "partial small subunit ribosomal RNA". It matches the Rfam family "Bacterial large subunit ribosomal RNA", at positions 1816 to 2600 of the family's 2925-position model. The record is from RNAcentral. Lineage: Eukaryota; Metazoa; Mollusca; Cephalopoda; Octopoda; Bolitaenidae.
GUCUCUUUGACUUUAUUUUAUAAAGAGUUGGGCCUGCUCAGUGAUAUUUUUAACAGCUGCGGUGUUAUAACUGUACUAAGGUAGCAUAAUAAUUUGCCUUAUAAAUUAGGGCUAGAAUGAAUGGUUUGACGAGAGUUAUACUGUCUCUAUUUUAAUUGUUAGAAUUUAAUUUUUAUAGUGAAAAAGCUUGGAUGGUUUAAAGGGACGAGAAGACCCUAUUGAGCUUUAUACGUUUAUAUAAAUAUAUAAACAUGUUUGGUUGGGGUGAUCAAGGAAUAAAAUAUAAAUAGUUUAACUUCCUUAGAUUUAUUAAUUUGUUAGGAUAAUAAACCAAUAUAUUGCUUUAAUGAUAAGUUACCAUAGGGAUAACAGCGUAAUUUUUUUAGAGAGUUCUUAUUGAAAAAAAAGAUUGCGACCUCGAUGUUGGAUUAAAAUAACCAUUAGGUGUAGAUGCUUUAUUUGGUGAAUCUGUUCGAUUUUUAAAAUUUUACA